Molecule: ribosomal RNA, 465 nt
Filed under: uncultured bacterium
Lineage: Bacteria
Description: partial 16S ribosomal RNA
Rfam family: Bacterial small subunit ribosomal RNA
Source: RNAcentral
GACGAACGCUGGCGGCGUGCUUAACACAUGCAAGUCGAACGGAAAGGCCCUGCUUGCAGGGUACUCGAGUGGCGAACGGGUGAGUAACACGUGGGUGAUCUGCCCUGCACUUCGGGAUAAGCCUGGGAAACUGGGUCUAAUACCGGAUAGGAGCCAUUUUUAGUGUGAUGGUUGGAAAGUUUUUUCGGUGUAGGAUGAGCUCGCGGCCUAUCAGCUUGUUGGUGGGGUAAUGGCCUACCAAGGCGGCGACGGGUAGCCGGCCUGGGGGGGUGGACGGCCACAUUGGGGCUGAGGUACGGCCCAGACUCCUACCGGGGGCAGCCGUGGGGAAUUUUGCCCAAUGGGCGCCAGCCUGAUGCAGCGACGCCGCGUGGGGGAUGACGGCCUUCGGGUUGUAAACUCCUUUCGCUAGGGACGAAGCUUUUUGUGACGGUACCUAGAUAAGAAGCACCGGCUAACUACGUG